This 1005-nucleotide long non-coding RNA is filed under the name Marmota monax (woodchuck). The record is from RNAcentral. Lineage: Eukaryota; Metazoa; Chordata; Mammalia; Rodentia; Sciuridae.
ACUUAACUACUAGAAACAAAGAUUUUCCUUGUAUAGCUAAGCUUUUCUAAAGUUAAUUUGACAAUAUAAAUUGUUUAUACUUAAUAGUCCAAGCAAAUAAACUCACAAACUAAUAACUCUGAUCCAAGCCUGCCUUCCUUAAUAUUCUUGGGGGCACAGUAAUAGUAGACCAGUUCAUCAUGAUGUUUUUUUCCUGCACUGUUACAGUGACAUUCUCUAUUUUGAUGAAAACAGUGCUUUAUUUCUAAUAAGAGGUUUAGAAUUAGCCCAAACAUUGUGGCUACUUUUUUUUUCCUUUUAGUUAUAGAUGGCCACAGUACCUUUAUUUAUUCAUUCAUUUAUCUUUUUGUUUAUUUGUUUACUUUGUGGUGCUAAGGAUCGAACCCAGUGCCUCAUACAUGCUAGGCAAGUGCUAGCCAUAACCCCAGCCCCACACUUUUUGAGUUUCUAAUGAGAGCCAGUGAGUUUCAGUGUCCUAUUUGGUCAUAGUGAUAUUGGAGAAUAGUAGUGUUUCAUAUCCCUGUUGUACAAAUGAAGAAAUGGAAAGGCUAAAGGGGAGCCAAAUAUUUGAGUGCCUGCGUAUCUGACAUCCCUUUCCUAUUUGUUACACUGCAAGUAAAAACAGACUUGGAAGUUGAGACCUUGCUCUCUUAAUUUUCUGACACGUUCUGAGAUCAAUGAAAUCAUAGCAUCAACUAAAAAAAAUCCAUAAUUAAGCCAGAAAAACCCUCUGAAAAACUAAAAUACAAAUCAUGAAGUCUAACCACCACAAACAUCUUUUCUAUAAGAGGACAUCUCAGGUUGUCAUGCAAACCUUGUUAACCAAUUCAAAAUGUUUACAUUAUUAAAGCCAUUUUUGUUAAAUGUUCUGUCAAGACAUUCAUAACUUAAAAGUGGUGCUUCCUCUCCUCAUACUACACUGUUUUCUGAAGUAACUGCCAAAUUUUUUUAUGUGUCCUUGCAAAAGUUUUCUGUGGAUUUUCAUAUCCAUAUGUGUAUACACAA